UACGGAGGGUGCAAGCGUUAUCCGGAUUCACUGGGUUUAAAGGGUGCGUAGGUGGGUUGCUAAGUCCGUGGUGAAAUCUCCGAGCUUAACUCGGAAACUGCCGUGGAUACUAUCAAUCUUGAAUACUGUGGAGGUAAGCGGAAUAUGUCAUGUAGCGGUGAAAUGCGUAGAUAUCAAGUGGAACACCAGUGGCGAAGGCGAAUCCCUGGAAAAUACCUGACACUGAGGCACGAAAGCUAGGGGAGCAAACAGG
This 253-nucleotide ribosomal RNA is filed under the name uncultured bacterium. RNAcentral's name for it is "partial 16S ribosomal RNA". It matches the Rfam family "Bacterial small subunit ribosomal RNA", at positions 524 to 776 of the family's 1533-position model. The record is from RNAcentral.